RNAcentral lists this ribosomal RNA (465 nucleotides) under Vreelandella stevensii. RNAcentral describes it as "partial 16S ribosomal RNA". It matches the Rfam family "Bacterial small subunit ribosomal RNA", at positions 338 to 795 of the family's 1533-position model. Lineage: Bacteria; Pseudomonadati; Pseudomonadota; Gammaproteobacteria; Oceanospirillales; Halomonadaceae. The record is from RNAcentral.
CCUACGGGGGGCUGCAGUGGGGAAUAUUGGACAAUGGGGGGAACCCUGAUCCAGCCAUGCCGCGUGUGUGAAGAAGGCCCUCGGGUUGUAAAGCACUUUCAGUGAGGAAGAACGCCUGGUGGUUAAUACCCAUCAGGAAAGACAUCACUCACAGAAGAAGCACCGGCUAACUCCGUGCCAGCAGCCGCGGUAAUACGGAGGGUGCGAGCGUUAAUCGGAAUUACUGGGCGUAAAGCGCGCGUAGGUGGCUUGAUAAGCCGGUUGUGAAAGCCCCGGGCUCAACCUGGGAACGGCAUCCGGAACUGUCAAGCUAGAGUGCAGGAGAGGAAGGUAGAAUUCCAGGUGUAGCGGUGAAAUGCGUAGAGAUCUGGAGGAAUACCAGUGGCGAAGGCGGCCUUCUGGACUGACACUGACCCUGAGGUGCGAACGCGUGGGUAGCAAUCAGGAUUAGAUACCCUAGUAGUC